CUUGAUCAAUUAUAAGAGGUCAAGCCUGCCCAGUGACAUUGUUCAACGGCCGCGGUAUCCUAACCGUGCGAAGGUAGCGUAAUCACUUGUUCUUUAAAUAAGGACUAGUAUGAACGGCUUCACGAAGGCUAUACUGUCUCCUUAAUCUAAUCAAUUAAACUAAUCUCCCCGUGAAGAAGCGGGGAUUCGUCUAUAAGACGAGAAGACCCUAUGGAGCUUUAAACAUCUAAGACACUUGAUUAUAUCUACUAAACUUCAUGCAACCUAUCAUUUUGUCUUAAGUUUUAGGUUGGGGUGACCACGGAGAAAAAUUAAACCUCCACGUAGAAAGAAAAUUCUUUUCUAAGCAAAAAGCCACAUCUUAACGCAUCAAUAUAUUGACUUAAAUUGACCCAAUUUCUUGCUCAACGAAC
RNAcentral lists this ribosomal RNA (413 nucleotides) under Allobates femoralis group sp. ABGD cluster 9. RNAcentral describes it as "partial large subunit ribosomal RNA". It matches the Rfam family "Bacterial large subunit ribosomal RNA", at positions 1834 to 2457 of the family's 2925-position model. Lineage: Eukaryota; Metazoa; Chordata; Amphibia; Anura; Aromobatidae. The record is from RNAcentral.